CAGAACGAACGCUGGCGGCAUGGAUUAGGCAUGCAAGUCGAACGGUGCAGCAAUGCAUAGUGGCGGACAAGGGUGAGGAACGCGUGAGUAACCUGCCUCAAGUUGGGAACAGCUUCUGGAACGGAAAUUAAUACCGAAUGUGACCAUUGGAAGGCAUCUUCUGUUGGUUAAAGGCCGCAAGGUCGCUUGAGGAGGGGCUCGCGUCCCAUUAUGCUAGUUGGUGAGGUAACGGCCACCAAGGCGAAGAUGGGUAGCUGGUCUGAGAGGACGAUCAGCCACACUGGGACUGAGAACUGCCCAGACUCCUACGGGAGGCUGCAGUCGAGAAUUUUGGGCAAUUGGACGAAAGUCUGGACCCAGCAAAUGCCGCGUGCGGGAUGAAGGUCUUCGGAUUGGUAAACCGCUGUCAAGUGGGACGAAACAAAUGACGGUACCGCUGAAGGAAGUCACGGCUAACUACGUGCCAGCAGCAGC
RNAcentral lists this ribosomal RNA (474 nucleotides) under uncultured bacterium. RNAcentral describes it as "bacterial SSU rRNA". It matches the Rfam family "Bacterial small subunit ribosomal RNA", at positions 25 to 518 of the family's 1533-position model. The record is from RNAcentral.